This 468-nucleotide ribosomal RNA is filed under the name uncultured bacterium. RNAcentral describes it as "partial 16S ribosomal RNA". It matches the Rfam family "Bacterial small subunit ribosomal RNA", at positions 28 to 507 of the family's 1533-position model. The record is from RNAcentral.
GACGAACGCUGGCGGCGUGCUUAACACAUGCAAGUCGAACGGAAAGACCCUGCUUUUGUUGGUUUCUCGAUUGGCGAGCGGGUGAGUAACACGUGAGUAACCUGCCCUUGUCUGUGUGAUAACUUCUCGAAACUGGGGCGAAUACCGGGGAUAAUCUCCUGCUGCAUGUGGUUGGUUGGAAAGAUUCGGCGUUUGGGGAUGGUAUCGCGGCUUAUCAGCUUGUUGGGGGGGUAGUUGCUGACCAAGGCUUUGACGGGUAGCCCGCCUGAGAGGGUUGCCGGCCACAUUGGGACUGAGAUACGGACCAGAAUGCUACGGGAGGCAGAAGGGGGGAAUCUUGCACAAUGGGGGGAAGCCUGAUGCAGCAGCGCCGCGUGCGGGAUGCCGGCUUUUGGGUUGUAAACAGCUUUCGCAUGUGACGAAGAGUGCGUGACGGUAAUGGGUCAAGAAGCCCCGGCUAACUACGUG